RNAcentral lists this long non-coding RNA (427 nucleotides) under Carica papaya (papaya). Its description in RNAcentral is "long non-coding RNA (CPAP_LNC010205)". Lineage: Eukaryota; Viridiplantae; Streptophyta; Magnoliopsida; Brassicales; Caricaceae. The record is from RNAcentral.
UAGUUAUAAAAACAUCAUAUCCAUCAUGUUAUAGUCAUAACAAUCAAAUCAAUCAUACUGAUAAUAGAGAAAAUCAAAUAAAUCAUUAUAUGCUCAGAUUUUUGUGUUAUGCUUCGCGAAGUCAUUUUGACUUCCAUCUACUGAGGGCAGAGAUGAAUUUCUGAUUACCCAUGUGGAAUGACCAGAUCAAAUAUAUAAUAGCAAUUUGCCAACAACACAUUUACAUCUUGGCAAACCAUGAUACAAUUUAUGACCACGGUCGUGCCAAGUGCGGUGGUCCUAUUAGAUACUGUAUAGCCACGGUAGUACUUUGCCAAAGGUAACCCCUAAUAGAUAAUUUGAGUCACCACUCCCAUUAGAGGGUACGCUGUUAUCCACAAGUAACGGUCCUCUCGUGUCUUUUCAGAUCAUAUUGGGGGAGAAAAAA